This 437-nucleotide ribosomal RNA is filed under the name Acanthamoeba genotype T4. Its description in RNAcentral is "SSU rRNA". The stretch from base 1 to 367 matches the Rfam family "Eukaryotic small subunit ribosomal RNA", at positions 767 to 1116 of the family's 1831-position model. Lineage: Eukaryota; Discosea; Longamoebia; Acanthamoebidae. The record is from RNAcentral.
UGACAUGUCAAGCAGGGCAGAUCCAUUUUCUGCCACCGAAUACAUUAGCAUGGGAUAAUGGAAUAGGACCCUGUCCUCCUAUUUUCAGUUGGUUUUGGCAGCGCGAGGACUAGGGUAAUGAUUAAUAGGGAUAGUUGGGGGCAUUAAUAUUUAAUUGUCAGAGGUGAAAUUCUUGGAUUUAUGAAAGAUUAACUUCUGCGAAAGCAUCUGCCAAGGAUGUUUUCAUUAAUCAAGAACGAAAGUUAGGGGAUCGAAGACGAUCAGAUACCGUCGUAGUCUUAACCAUAAACGAUGCCGACCAGCGAUUAGGAGACGUUGAAUACAAAACACCACCAUCGGCGCGGUCGUCCUUGGCGUCUCGGUUUCGGCCGGGGCGCGGGGACGGCUUAGCCCGGUGGCACCGGUGAAUGACUCCCUAGCACUUUGUGAAGAAUGGC